UGGGGAAUUUUGGACAAUGGGCGAAAGCCUGAUCCAGCAAUGCCGCGUGUGUGAAGAAGGCCUUCGGGUUGUAAAGCACUUUUGUCCGGAAAGAAAUCCUUGGCUCUAAUACAGUCGGGGGAUGACGGUACCGGAAGAAUAAGCACCGGCUAACUACGUGCCAGCAGCCGCGGUAAUACGUAGGGUGCAAGCGUUAAUCGGAAUUACUGGGCGUAAAGCGUGCGCAGGCGGUUUGCUAAGACCGAUGUGAAAUCCCCGGGCUCAACCUGGGAACUGCAUUGGUGACUGGCAGGCUAGAGUAUGGCAGAGGGGGGUAGAAUUCCACGUGUAGCAGUGAAAUGCGUAGAGAUGUGGAGGAAUACCGAUGGCGAAGGCAGCCCCCUGGGCCAAUACUGACGCUCAUGCACGAAAGCGUGGGGAGCAAACAGGAUUAGAUACCCUGGUAGUCCAGCGCCCUAAAACGAUGUCAACUAGGUUGUUGGGGAUUCAAUUUCCUUAGUACGUAGCUAACGCGUGAAGUUGACCG
This 526-nucleotide ribosomal RNA is filed under the name uncultured bacterium. RNAcentral describes it as "partial 16S ribosomal RNA". It matches the Rfam family "Bacterial small subunit ribosomal RNA", at positions 355 to 871 of the family's 1533-position model. The record is from RNAcentral.